RNAcentral lists this ribosomal RNA (253 nucleotides) under uncultured bacterium. RNAcentral's name for it is "partial 16S ribosomal RNA". It matches the Rfam family "Bacterial small subunit ribosomal RNA", at positions 524 to 776 of the family's 1533-position model. The record is from RNAcentral.
AACGGAGGGUGCAAGCGUUGUUCGGAAUUACUGGGCGUCAAGCGCGUGCAGGUGGUUUUUUAAGUUUCGUGUGAAAUCCCAUGGCUCAACCAUGGAACGGCACGGAAAACUGGAAGGCUUGAGUACGGGAGAAGAGGGCGGAAUUCCCAGUGUAGAGGUGAAAUUCGUAGAUAUUGGGAGGAACACCGGUGGCGAAAGCGGCUCUCUAGACCGAUACUGACGCUCAUACGCGAGAGCGUGGGUAGCAAACAGG